This 380-nucleotide ribosomal RNA is filed under the name uncultured eukaryote. Its description in RNAcentral is "partial 18S ribosomal RNA". It matches the Rfam family "Eukaryotic small subunit ribosomal RNA", at positions 592 to 975 of the family's 1831-position model. The record is from RNAcentral.
CAAUAGCGUAUAUUAAAGCUGUUGCGGUUAAAAAGCUCGUAGUUGGAUUUCUGUCAAGGACAGCUGGUCCGCCCUCCGGGUGAGCACAUAGUUUGGUCUUGACAUCUUGCUGGAAGCUGUUGCUGCACUUGGCUGUGUGGCGCAGUGUUCAGCACUUUCACUUUGAGGAAAUUGGAGUGUUUCAAGCAGGCACAUGCCUUUGGACACAGUAGCAUGGAAUAAUUAGAUUGGGCUUUUGCUCCAAUUUGUCGGUUUCUGGAGCUGAGGUGAGUAUUAAUGGGGAUUGUUGGGGGCAUCCGAAUUUAGCCGUCAGAGGUGAAAUUCUUGGAUCUGCUAAAGACGGACAACUGCGAAAGCGUUUGCCCAGGAUGUUUUCAUUG